AUUGAACGCUGGCGGCAGGCCUAACACAUGCGAGUCGAGCGGAUGAAGGGAGCUUGCUCCUGGAUUCAGCGGCGGACGGGUGAGUAAUGCCUAGGAAUCUGCCUGGUAGUGGGGGAUAACGUCCGGAAACGGGCGCUAAUACCGCAUACGUCCUGAGGGAGAAAGUGGGGGAUCUUCGGACCUCACGCUAUCAGAUGAGCCUAGGUCGGAUUAGCUAGUUGGUGGGGUAAAGGUCUACCAAGGCGACGAUCCGUAACUGGUCUGAGAGGAUGAUCAGUCACACUGGAACUGAGACACGGUCCGGACUCCUACGGGAGGCAGCAGUGGGGAAUAUUGGACAAUGGGCGAAAGCCUGAUCCAGCCAUGCCGCGUGUGUGAAGAAGGUCUUCGGAUUGUAAAGCACUUAAAGUUGGGAGGAAGGGCAGUAAGUUAAUACCUUGCUGUUUUGACGUUACCAACAGAAUAAGCACCGGCUAACUUCGUG
This 484-nucleotide ribosomal RNA is filed under the name uncultured bacterium. RNAcentral describes it as "partial 16S ribosomal RNA". It matches the Rfam family "Bacterial small subunit ribosomal RNA", at positions 30 to 507 of the family's 1533-position model. The record is from RNAcentral.